This 20-nucleotide non-coding RNA is filed under the name Cyprinus carpio (common carp). Its record names the gene ccr-miR-222. RNAcentral also lists the same sequence under 1 other name. Lineage: Eukaryota; Metazoa; Chordata; Actinopteri; Cypriniformes; Cyprinidae. The record is from miRBase by way of RNAcentral.
AGCUACAUCUGGCUACUGGG